GCAGAGCCAGGAACCAUGGACAAGAUGAUACCUCUCUAACCUCUCAAAGUGCCAGAAGCAGAGCCAGGACCCAGUUGUAUCGUGCAAGUGACUGAACCUCUCCCUGUGGAAGACACAGAGGUUUAAGAGAGGGAGAGUGGAACAGUCUCCAGGAUAAUCAACAGCCGUCCAGAUGAGAGGAGAUCUUCCAGGAUUAAUGAAGAACCAUGAACACACUUGGAUCAUUCCUUUUCAAAUCAACUAAAUUUCAGAAACUUUCCCAGCUCAUUUUUUUUUUUUUUUUUUUUGAUUUUGUUAGUAUUUUUUUCUGAAGAAAGACAAACAUAAAUGAAGACAAAAGCCAAAAUAUUAACAUUUUCACACAUAAGUUUAAAAUAUUUUAGGUGACUCCUAAGCGUGAAUUCUCUUCAGAUUAUUUUAGAACAUUUUUCUAGAACGCUUCAUCUUAUUAUUUCCAUGGGGACGCGUCAUGCUUGUCAUGUGAUAUAAAACCUAACAGUUGUUUUAACUAAUCUUUUUUUUAUCAAACUUUACUUAAGGUCCAAUAAUUUGUUGAACUUACUUAAAGGGAUAGUUCACCCAAAAAUGAAAAAAAAAAAAAAAUGCUAUGGAAUCAAUGGUGCCCCAGAACUGUUCAGUUUUCC
Molecule: long non-coding RNA, 644 nt
Organism: Megalobrama amblycephala (Wuchang bream)
Lineage: Eukaryota; Metazoa; Chordata; Actinopteri; Cypriniformes; Xenocyprididae
Exons: 3
Source: RefSeq, a predicted model, not a curated record